GGAGAGGUGGCCGAGCGGUUGAAGGCGCACGCCUGGAAAGUGUGUAUACGCUAACCGCGUAUCGAGGGUUCGAAUCCCUCCCUCUCCG
This 88-nucleotide transfer RNA is filed under the name Nitrosococcus halophilus Nc 4. RNAcentral describes it as "Nitrosococcus halophilus Nc4 tRNA". It matches the Rfam family "tRNA". Rfam says of the family: Transfer RNA (tRNA) molecules are approximately 80 nucleotides in length. Their secondary structure includes four short double-helical elements and three loops (D, anti-codon, and T loops). Further hydrogen bonds mediate the characteristic L-shaped molecular structure. tRNAs have two regions of fundamental functional importance: the anti-codon, which is responsible for specific mRNA codon recognition, and the 3' end, to which the tRNAs corresponding amino acid is attached (by aminoacyl-tRNA synthetases). tRNAs cope with the degeneracy of the genetic code in two manners: having more than one tRNA (with a specific anti-codon) for a particular amino acid; and 'wobble' base-pairing, i.e. permitting non-standard base-pairing at the 3rd anti-codon position. Lineage: Bacteria; Pseudomonadati; Pseudomonadota; Gammaproteobacteria; Chromatiales; Chromatiaceae. The record is from Rfam by way of RNAcentral.